CUCUCUCUCUCUCUCUCUCUCUCUUUCUCUCUCUCUCUGUGGGACUCGGAGAGAGUGUGUGAGAGAAAGACAGUGAGGGAAAGAG
Xyrichtys novacula (pearly razorfish) is the source of this 85-nucleotide non-coding RNA. The record is from the annotation of a GenBank genome assembly. NCBI's taxonomy places the organism in Eukaryota, Metazoa, Chordata, Actinopteri, Labriformes, Labridae.